Long non-coding RNA from Canis lupus familiaris (dog), 1316 nucleotides. RefSeq lists it as uncharacterized. The record is from RefSeq and is a predicted model, not a curated record. Lineage: Eukaryota; Metazoa; Chordata; Mammalia; Carnivora; Canidae. The transcript is spliced from 5 exons.
UCUGUCAGAGUGCCUUUGGCUGCAAGUAACACAUUAUCAAAUUCAAACUGGCUUAGUCAAUGGAGGAAUUAAUUAUGUCAAAAAGACUACAGGUGCUGGACUCCCGCUGAGGAUGAGUGAUGCAUCAAGGGAAAGAGAAGAACUGUGAGUGGAAAGAUAUUAGCUUUCCUCUCUUUAAAAGGAAUGCUGACAUGGUGCCAGAGCUGUGAGUUCCUGUGCCUGGGCUCAGUUGUCCUGGUGGCGACAGCCUGGAUGAUAGGAGCACGAGUCUCUUGGAAAGAGGCAUCGCAUUUACCUCCACUUACAAGUGAAGAGCCAGGCGGUGAGAGGGAAGUGAUGAGCCAAGGCCACAAAGCCAGGGAGCAAGAGAGCUUGGGUCUGGAGUGAAGCAGUCUGGUUUCCAAGUUGGAGCUCCCAGCCCUCCACCGUGCUGCCCAGGCCUGGAGGGAACCCUUGUGUGCUGAGCACAUUUUCUGAACUGAAAAGCUAGGAGGAGGAGGUCUGAUGUGUUGACUGUUCAUUGUGGUGGUCUUUAGGGUCCUGUGUUUAAGAUGGGGUCUGUCCUGGACUUUGUGGUCUGUCUGGUCCACAGAGAGGCUGGCAAUGGGGAACAAGUCUGUCCUAAAGGUACGCAGUGCUUCCAGCGUGUGGGGCCCUGGUGUUUAUCUAGGAAUGUAGCUAAUGACCUUGGAGGUGCUUGCCAAGAUUCCCAGGCUAGUGAGGACAGAGCAAGAGGUCAGGGAGGAUAGACAUGUUGGAUCUUGCAUCCCAGGAUGCUUUGCCAAGUGGUCCCAUGCCCCUGGCCAUGAGCAGGCACCAGGGUGAUGGCAGAUGAGUGAGGACAGGGGGAUAAAGCUGUGUUCCCAGGCAGGAACCACUUUGGCCUAUAUUCCAUCUUGGGUUGUGGGAUAGCUCAGUCACCCCCGUGCCAGGCUCCUUGCAGAGAGAGGAUGUGAAUCCAGAUCACGCAGCCCUGGCGGUGCCAGCUGACGCCACCAUGCCCCACUUGUGCUGGAUUGCAGUUUCGGGAUGACUCAUAGAUGGCUUUCCACAUGUCUCAGCUCCGGUGUGAUUCUCGAGUACCCAGGCUGCAGGGGAAGAACAGAGCCAACUCGUUCUGGAUGGAUUCAGAUGGGGAGUGAUCGGGGAUGGCUCCAGAAAGGCGGUUUCCAGGUUGAGAUAAAGAAGACUUAGGGGCAUCUGGGUGGCCCAAUCAGUCAAGCAGCUGCCUUCAGCUCACAUCAUGAUCCCAGAGUGCUGGGAUGGAGCCCUACAUCGGACUUCCUGCUCCCCAGAGAGCUUGCUUCUCCCUCUGC